Molecule: ribosomal RNA, 1237 nt
Filed under: Sesame phyllody phytoplasma
Lineage: Bacteria; Bacillati; Mycoplasmatota; Mollicutes; Acholeplasmatales; Acholeplasmataceae
Description: bacterial SSU rRNA
Rfam family: Bacterial small subunit ribosomal RNA
Source: RNAcentral
GCUAAGACUGGAUAGGAGACAAGAGGGCAUCUUCUUGUUUUUAAAAGACCUAGCAAUAGGUAUGCUUAGGGAGGAGCUUGCGUCACAUUAGUUAGUUGGUGGGGUAAAGGCCUACCAAGACUAUGAUGUGUAGCCGGGCUGAGAGGUUGAACGGCCACAUUGGGACUGAGACACGGCCCAAACUCCUACGGGAGGCAGCAGUAGGGAAUUUUCGGCAAUGGAGGAAACUCUGACCGAGCAACGCCGCGUGAACGAUGAAGUAUUUCGGUACGUAAAGUUCUUUUAUUAGGGAAGAAUAAAUGAUGGAAAAAUCAUUCUGACGGUACCUAAUGAAUAAGCCCCGGCUAACUAUGUGCCAGCAGCCGCGGUAAUACAUAGGGGGCAAGCGUUAUCCGGAAUUAUUGGGCGUAAAGGGUGCGUAGGCGGUUAAAUAAGUUUAUGGUCUAAGUGCAAUGCUCAACAUUGUGAUGCUAUAAAAACUGUUUAGCUAGAGUAAGAUAGAGGCAAGUGGAAUUCCAUGUGUAGUGGUAAAAUGCGUAAAUAUAUGGAGGAACACCAGUAGCGAAGGCGGCUUGCUGGGUCUUUACUGACGCUGAGGCACGAAAGCGUGGGGAGCAAACAGGAUUAGAUACCCUGGUAGUCCACGCCGUAAACGAUGAGUACUAAACGUUGGGUAAAACCAGUGUUGAAGUUAACACAUUAAGUACUCCGCCUGAGUAGUACGUACGCAAGUAUGAAACUUAAAGGAAUUGACGGGACUCCGCACAAGCGGUGGAUCAUGUUGUUUAAUUCGAAGGUACCCGAAAAACCUCACCAGGUCUUGACAUGCUUCUGCAAAGCUGUAGAAACACAGUGGAGGUUAUCAGUUGCACAGGUGGUGCAUGGUUGUCGUCAGCUCGUGUCGUGAGAUGUUGGGUUAAGUCCCGCAACGAGCGCAACCCUUAUUGUUAGUUACCAGCACGUAAUGGUGGGGACUUUAGCAAGACUGCCAGUGAUAAAUUGGAGGAAGGUGGGGACGACGUCAAAUCAUCAUGCCCCUUAUGACCUGGGCUACAAACGUGAUACAAUGGCUGUUACAAAGGGUAGCUGAAGCGCAAGUUUUUGGCGAAUCUCAAAAAAACAGUCUCAGUUCGGAUUGAAGUCUGCAACUCGACUUCAUGAAGUUGGAAUCGCUAGUAAUCGCGAAUCAGCAUGUCGCGGUGAAUACGUUCUCGGGGUUUGUACACACCGCCCGUCA